RNAcentral lists this ribosomal RNA (774 nucleotides) under uncultured Neocallimastigales. RNAcentral's name for it is "partial large subunit ribosomal RNA". It matches the Rfam family "Eukaryotic large subunit ribosomal RNA", at positions 26 to 625 of the family's 3401-position model. Lineage: Eukaryota; Fungi; Neocallimastigomycota; Neocallimastigomycetes; Neocallimastigales. The record is from RNAcentral.
CGCAUCUGUGCAUGCAGCAUAUCAAUAAGCGGAGGAAAAGAAACUAACAAGGAUUCCCUUAGUAACGGCGAGUGAAGCGGGAAGAGCUCAAAUUUGUAAUCUUCAAGGUUUUACCUUGACGAAUUGUAGUUUAAAGAAGUGUUUUCUGCUGAAGUUUUGGUAAAAGUUCUUUGGAAUAGGACAUCAUAGAGGGUGAGAAUCCCGUAUUUGACCAUUAUUUUCAGCUUUGUGAUACACUUUUAAAGAGUCGGAUUGUUUGGGAAUGCAGUCCAAAAUGGGUGGUAAAUUUCAUCUAAAGCUAAAUAUUGGCGAGAGACCGAUAGCGAACAAGUACCGUGAGGGAAAGAUGAAAAGAACUUUGAAAAGAGAGUUAAACAGUACGUGAAAUUGUCAAAAGGGAAGCGUUUGACACCAGUGUUGUUUUCUCGAAAAUCAAUUAAAAAUGGCUCGAUUUUGUAUUGCUGAGACCUUAAAAGCUCACUGUACAUUUUUCGUGUCUUUUUUAAUGCACUUUUCGUUUAACAAGUCAACAUCAGUUUCUUUUGUUGUAAAAGGGUCAUUGGAAGGUGGCUUUCUUUUCGGAGAAAGUGUUUAUAGCCUUUGGCCUCUGCAAUCGGAGAGACUGAGGUCUGCAGCGUAGACUCUUCGGGGUUAGAUACAUUUGUGCUAAGUUAUAGCUUUUUAUAGACAACUUGUUGACUAUAAUUAGUCUUGUAGCUUACUCGCUUAUGCUAUUUUACCUACGCUUAGGAUGUUGAUAGUCACAGCGUGUAC